Salvia miltiorrhiza (redroot sage) is the source of this 1285-nucleotide long non-coding RNA. RefSeq lists it as uncharacterized. NCBI's taxonomy places the organism in Eukaryota, Viridiplantae, Streptophyta, Magnoliopsida, Lamiales, Lamiaceae. The transcript is spliced from 3 exons. The record is from RefSeq and is a predicted model, not a curated record.
CUGCCCGCCUCGCUCCGCCCCGCGCCGCUCCGCGCCCUGCGCUGCUGCCCGCCCCGCGCCUCGCCGCUGGUCGCCCCGCCUCGCGCCGCUGCCGCCCUGCGCCGCUGCCCGUCCCACGCCGCGCUGCUGCUCGCCCCGCCCCUCCCUGGCGCCGUGUCCUCUGCUGCCAGCGCCGGAUUCCUCCGCCGCCACCGGUCCUCCUCCUCCGCGGCCACCGGUCCUCUUCCUCCGCUGCCUGCGUCCGUCGGAUUCCUCCAUAGUAUUUCACUCCACCAUUGCUUCUUGAGGAAGAAAAAAAGAAGUCAAGGUGAUCGAAAAGAAAAGCUAGUAACAAAACAAAAAAUUCUAUUGAAGAGCUUCCAUCUUCAGUGUGCAGUCUUGUUCAUCUAAAGUCACUCUGUUUGGAUAACAACAAAGUGAAGCAGGUUUAACUCUGAUAUGGACUUCAUAUUCAUAUAAUGUUGUGGCUAUUCUAUGAAGUUGAUCUGUUAAUGUUUAACUUAAUUGGUUGUUUGCAUGCCGUUUGUGGACAUAUUGUAUUGCGUGUUAGAAUGCUAUUUGCAGUUAACUUGUGAUUUUGCAUUGGCAUCUUCUAUAAAUCCACAUGGCGAUGCCUUGACAGCUGGUAGCUUAUACAUAAUCAAAGAUGAAGUGAAGUCCUAAUUAAAGUUUAUGAUUCAUAUGAAUUCUAUUGUUAUAAUGCUCUAGAAAAGUGUCGAUUCCAUGAAAGUAUGAGUUGUAGGGAGAGAAUUCAUUAGAGAUCAAAUUUCUGGAAGCGAAUAAGAAUAACAAUUGAAGACUGGGAAAUUGUACUAGGAAAUCUUAAUUUUUCGCUUUCCUGGAUCAUACCAGCUCCUUUUGCAACUCUUAGUCUUUUCUAUCAAGUCUAUUGUAAAGUAUUUGUUCAUGUUGUAAAUAUUUCUUUGACCUUCAGGUGUUGGGUUUCCCCUUUGCUGGUAUCAUAUGUUUUUAAGAAGUUGAAAUAGGUACUCUAUCGCACUUUUUAGGAUUACAGGAUGCAUUAGUGGAGAUAGCACGUCAAAAGGAGGAGAUGAGGCAGAAAGAUGAGCAGACCGAUGCUCGAUUUCAGGCUCAGCAGCGUAUGUUCGAGGAGAUAUUGGCUAGGCUUCCACCUGGACCCACUGGACCCACUCCACCCACUGGACCAUCAUCUUGAUUAUGUUGUGUUUUGGUAUUUUGAAUACUUGAAUAUUUCUAUUAUAUAUUUGUGAACAUUUGAAUAUUUUGUUAAGUUAUGACUAUUCGAAUGCUAAUUUAAAUUUCA